Molecule: transfer RNA, 72 nt
Filed under: Marmota monax (woodchuck)
Lineage: Eukaryota; Metazoa; Chordata; Mammalia; Rodentia; Sciuridae
Description: tRNA.Ala
Source: RNAcentral
GGGCUGUAGCUUAGGGGUAGAAUGCUUGCCUAGCAUGUAUGAGGCCUUGGGUUUGAUCCCCAACCCUGUCCC